RNAcentral lists this unclassified non-coding RNA (348 nucleotides) under soil metagenome. Its description in RNAcentral is "partial contains 5.8S ribosomal RNA, internal transcribed spacer 2, and large subunit ribosomal RNA". The stretch from base 1 to 120 matches the Rfam family "5.8S ribosomal RNA", at positions 35 to 154 of the family's 154-position model. The record is from RNAcentral.
GAUGAAGAACGCAGCGAAAUGCGAUAAGUAAUGUGAAUUGCAGAAUUCAGUGAAUCAUCGAGUCUUUGAACGCACAUUGCGCCCCCUGGUAUUCCGGGGGGCAUGCCUGUCCGAGCGUCAUUGCCGCCCUCAAGCUCGGCUUGUGUGUUGGGCCCCCGCCCCCCGGCUUCGGGGGGCGGGCCCGAAAGGCAGCGGCGGCACCGCGUCCGGUCCUCGAGCGUAUGGGGCUUCGUCACCCGCUCUGUAGGCCCGGCCGGCGCCCGCCGGCGACCCCAAUCAAUCUUUCCAGGUUGACCUCGGAUCAGGUAGGGAUACCCGCUGAACUUAAGCAUAUCAAUAAGCGGAGGA